AUAAUUGAUAGAUGGCAUUGUACCCCCAUCAAUUUAUGCCUUUCACCAGGCAGAAAUAUUAAAGUAAUGACUGAAUGACGGAAAUCAGUUGAUGUGAGAUAAAGUGCUCUCUUGUGAUAUUGAUUGUUGAAAUUGAUUGAUAAUGAAUAAUAGCCGAAUCUCUGUAGAAAUAUAAAAUGAACUCUAACUACAAAAUUGUUUAGUAGAUAGAACAACUUUCAUGUUAUCAAGCGCGGAGAACCAUGUACUAUUUUGUUAUUGGGCAUUACACAUAAUGGUAAAUGUCUUAAAAAAAAUCUUUUAAAUUUGAUGAACUUCUAACAAGCAAUUGGCAGAGAAGAAAGGGAUCCGUUUUCAAACUGUGAAUUUGUUAAUUUAUGGAAAGUAUUGGUGAUUUUCUUAUGCGCCUUGCUGAUGGACUCCUUACAAAAUAAUAUCAUUGGAUUGUCUUUGCUAUAUUUGUUAUUCCCUUAAGACACACAUGACAACCAAGAAUUGCUGUUGUCAAAAUUAUUUUUAUUGUUUGCCUGAUGAGAUGAAGACAAGAAAGAGCUUUGGCUGAAAAACGUGAAAAGCAAUGUUUCAAUUCGUUCGUUGAAGUUUGGUGAAGAAGCCAUUAUCUUGAAAGCGAUGUGCUGAUAUAAUCAACAACAACUUGAUUUUCACGUUUGCCAGCGUCAGGAAUACGUUUAAAAAAGGUGCUGUUUCAGUUCAUUGAAAGUUCCGUUUAUUCAAAACCAUUUGAAAUAUGCGACAAGGAGAAAUGCUGUGCGGCGCGUUUCGCAUCAAUAUUCAUUCAAUUGCUUCAAGUUUUGUCACAGCCACAAACGAAGAAUAAUGUUUACGAAGCUCAAAGCCACAUGUCGUGACAAGCUGAUGAAAACGCUUAAGUAUUUGUUCAAGGAUUAUCGACCGUGGGAGUAAUUAUUAAAAUGUUUUUUUUUCUCAUUCCUUUUUUUUUGCUUUAGAUGAUCAUCGUGGUACAAGGCCUGCUCCUUUUCCCUCCC
This is a long non-coding RNA of Xenia sp. Carnegie-2017, 1007 nucleotides long. RefSeq lists it as uncharacterized. The record is from RefSeq and is a predicted model, not a curated record. NCBI's taxonomy places the organism in Eukaryota, Metazoa, Cnidaria, Anthozoa, Malacalcyonacea, Xeniidae. The transcript has 7 exons.